AUACGGAGGAUCCAAGCGUUAUCCGGAAUCAUUGGGUUUAAAGGGUCCGUAGGCGGGAAUCUAAGUCAGUGGUGAAAUCUUGCAGCUCAACUGUAAAAUUGCCAUUGAUACUGGAUUUCUUGAAUUAGUGUGAAGUGGUUAGAAUGUGUAGUGUAGCGGUGAAAUGCAUAGAUAUUACACAGAAUACCAAUUGCGAAGGCAGAUCACUAACACUAUAUUGACGCUGAGGGACGAAAGCGUGGGGAGCGAACAGGAUUAGAAACCCGGGUAGUCC
Molecule: ribosomal RNA, 274 nt
Filed under: uncultured bacterium
Lineage: Bacteria
Description: partial 16S ribosomal RNA
Rfam family: Bacterial small subunit ribosomal RNA
Source: RNAcentral